This 453-nucleotide ribosomal RNA is filed under the name uncultured Flavisolibacter sp. RNAcentral's name for it is "bacterial SSU rRNA". It matches the Rfam family "Bacterial small subunit ribosomal RNA", at positions 341 to 792 of the family's 1533-position model. Lineage: Bacteria; Pseudomonadati; Bacteroidota; Chitinophagia; Chitinophagales; Chitinophagaceae. The record is from RNAcentral.
ACGGGAGGCAGCAGUAAGGAAUAUUGGUCAAUGGACGCAAGUCUGAACCAGCCAUGCCGCGUGGAGGAUGAAGGCCCUCUGGGUUGUAAACUUCUUUUAUGGGGGACGAAAUCACUUAUUCUUAAGUGUCUGACGGUACCCCAGGAAUAAGCACCGGCUAACUCCGUGCCAGCAGCCGCGGUAAUACGGAGGGUGCAAGCGUUAUCCGGAUUCACUGGGUUUAAAGGGUGCGUAGGAGGGUGAGUAAGUCAGUGGUGAAAUCUUCGAGCUUAACUCGGAAACUGCCGUUGAUACUACUUGUCUUGAAUAUCGUGGAGGUGAGCGGAAUAUGUCAUGUAGCGGUGAAAUGCUUAGAUAUGACAUAGAACACCAAUUGCGAAGGCAGCUCGCUACACGAAUAUUGACUCUGAGGCACGAAAGCGUGGGGAUCAAACAGGAUUAGAUACCCUGGUA